UGGGGAAUAUUGGACAAUGGGCGAAAGCCUGAUCCAGCCAUGCCGCGUGUGUGAAGAAGGUCUUCGGAUUGUAAAGCACUUUAAGUUGGGAGGAAGGGCAGUAAAUUAAUACUUUGCUGUUUUGACGUUACCGACAGAAUAAGCACCGGCUAACUCUGUGCCAGCAGCCGCGGUAAUACAGAGGGUGCAAGCGUUAAUCGGAAUUACUGGGCGUAAAGCGCGCGUAGGUGGUUUGUUAAGUUGGAUGUGAAAUCCCCGGGCUCAACCUGGGAACUGCAUUCAAAACUGACAAGCUAGAGUAUGGUAGAGGGUGGUGGAAUUUCCUGUGUAGCGGUGAAAUGCGUAGAUAUAGGAAGGAACACCAGUGGCGAAGGCGACCACCUGGACUGAUACUGACACUGAGGUGCGAAAGCGUGGGGAGCAAACAG
RNAcentral lists this ribosomal RNA (428 nucleotides) under uncultured bacterium. RNAcentral's name for it is "bacterial SSU rRNA". It matches the Rfam family "Bacterial small subunit ribosomal RNA", at positions 355 to 775 of the family's 1533-position model. The record is from RNAcentral.